GCGGUGUUAGUUUAUAUAAAAAUGGUGGCUUGUCAUGCCACAGAAGUUADUUUKAUCACACCGUU
This 65-nucleotide transfer RNA is filed under the name Cichlidogyrus casuarinus. RNAcentral's name for it is "tRNA-Asp". Lineage: Eukaryota; Metazoa; Platyhelminthes; Monogenea; Dactylogyridea; Ancyrocephalidae. The record is from RNAcentral.